GCGGGAUUAGUUGAGCGGCUCAACAUCAGCUUUCCAAGCUGAGGAGACGGGUUCGACUCCCGUAUCCCGCUCCA
RNAcentral lists this transfer RNA (74 nucleotides) under Candidatus Blackburnbacteria bacterium. Its description in RNAcentral is "tRNA-Gly". It matches the Rfam family "tRNA". Rfam says of the family: Transfer RNA (tRNA) molecules are approximately 80 nucleotides in length. Their secondary structure includes four short double-helical elements and three loops (D, anti-codon, and T loops). Further hydrogen bonds mediate the characteristic L-shaped molecular structure. tRNAs have two regions of fundamental functional importance: the anti-codon, which is responsible for specific mRNA codon recognition, and the 3' end, to which the tRNAs corresponding amino acid is attached (by aminoacyl-tRNA synthetases). tRNAs cope with the degeneracy of the genetic code in two manners: having more than one tRNA (with a specific anti-codon) for a particular amino acid; and 'wobble' base-pairing, i.e. permitting non-standard base-pairing at the 3rd anti-codon position. The record is from RNAcentral. Lineage: Bacteria; Candidatus Blackburniibacteriota.